UUGCUCAGGACGAACGCUGGCGGCGUGCCUAAUACAUGCAAGUCGAACGCACUCUCGUUUAGAUUGAAGGAGCUUGCUCCUGAUUGAUAAACAUUUGAGUGAGUGGCGGACGGGUGAGUAACACGUGGGUAACCUGCCCUAAAGUGGGGGAUAACAUUUGGAAACAGAUGCUAAUACCGCAUAAAACCUAACACCGCAUGGUGUAGGGUUGAAAGAUGGUUUCGGCUAUCACUUUAGGAUGGACCCGCGGUGCAUUAGUUAGUUGGUGAGGUAAAGGCUCACCAAGACCGUGAUGCAUAGCCGACCUGAGAGGGUAAUCGGCCACACUGGGACUGAGACACGGCCCAGACUCCUACGGGAGGCAGCAGUAGGGAAUCUUCCACAAUGGACGAAAGUCUGAUGGAGCAACGCCGCGUGAGUGAAGAAGGUUUUCGGAUCGUAAAACUCUGUUGUUGGAGAAGAAUGUAUCUGAUAGUAACUGAUCAGGUAGUGACGGUAUCCAACCAGAAAGCCACGGCUAACUACGUGCCAGCAGCCGCGGUAAUACGUAGGUGGCAAGCGUUGUCCGGAUUUAUUGGGCGUAAAGCGAGCGCAGGCGGUUUCUUAAGUCUGAUGUGAAAGCCUUCGGCUCAACCGAAGAAGUGCAUCGGAAACUGGGAAACUUGAGUGCAGAAGAGGACAGUGGAACUCCAUGUGUAGCGGUGAAAUGCGUAGAUAUAUGGAAGAACACCAGUGGCGAAGGCGGCUGUCUGGUCUGUAACUGACGCUGAGGCUCG
This 776-nucleotide ribosomal RNA is filed under the name Latilactobacillus sakei. RNAcentral describes it as "bacterial SSU rRNA". It matches the Rfam family "Bacterial small subunit ribosomal RNA", at positions 20 to 755 of the family's 1533-position model. Lineage: Bacteria; Bacillati; Bacillota; Bacilli; Lactobacillales; Lactobacillaceae. The record is from RNAcentral.